RNAcentral lists this ribosomal RNA (2521 nucleotides) under Blattella germanica (German cockroach). Its description in RNAcentral is "eukaryotic LSU rRNA". The stretch from base 1354 to 2521 matches the Rfam family "Eukaryotic large subunit ribosomal RNA", at positions 1889 to 3338 of the family's 3401-position model. Lineage: Eukaryota; Metazoa; Arthropoda; Insecta; Blattodea; Blattellidae. The record is from RNAcentral.
AGCUGUAAAGCUGGAUCAGGCCAUACGUAAGUUGCUCAUCACUCACAAGGCUAGGACGAAGCCAAGUAGUGUGGAUCGUUUAUACCUUCCACGGGAACAGGGUGGUUGCGGGCUCGCGUCGGUAGAGGAUGUGCUCGUUGAGUGCAUACUCGCCAGUUAUAGUUACGUUAUGACGCAGCCGGACCUCCUGAAUGAAGGCUUCUUCUUUCGGAAGCAAUCCGAGAGAGGAAAACGCACGCCCUACGGUGAUGGGCGCCGUAUACUUCAUGCCUAUGGUGUUGAGGUUGAGGAAAUGGAAGAAGCCAGGAAGGUGGUUGUGGACGGUGUGGUCUACGACAACCCGACAAAGCUUACCAGGACCCUGACCAAGAUGCUGAAGCUGAAGCGUGCGGAAGCACGGCUAGAGAACUGGAAACAGCAUCCUCUAGCGGGUAAGUUCCCCCGUGACGAGGAGGUUGAUGUGGCCCUAUCCAGCUUAUGGCUGAAGAAAGGUUGCGUUGGCCCCAGAGUCAUGCGUGACGUGCUUUGCGUCCAGGAAGGAUGCCUAAUGACAAAGGCAUGGCCUCCGCGUACUGAGGCGGGUGCGAAUGAUGUGUGUCGCCUAUGCAAACGGGCGCGGGAAACCGCUGCACAUAUCGUGAGUGCCUGCUCCGGGUGGUUACAAACCCUGUAUGUGGAACGNAAACAUAGGCGGCCUGAUUUUGUGGUGCACGACAAAGUCCUGAGAAAGAUAUUAGUCGUCGAGGUGUCGGUAGCUUUUGGUGCCAACCUCAGACGUCAACGAGAUAUCAAAGUGAACCGUUAUUGUGUGAACUCGUCGGAGCUUCCCGAUGAGGCCAACCCCCCUUACCCGCCUGGAGUUAACCUGUGCGAGGACAUCCGCCGCGUGCAGAAGUUGCCUGUCGACUUCUUGCCUGUGGUGGUUGGGGUGUGUGGGGAGCACUUAGCGGUGACCAAAGACGAUAUCCAUAGGAAGCUGGGCCUCAGCAUCCGAGAUACUGAUGUGUUGCUCGAACGACUGGCCCGGUCAGCGGUCGAAGGCACGCAUAGGAUAAUAUGCCGUCACUUCAGUGUCGCCAGUUAAGGACUCCGGGGAGUUUUCUCAGUUGCAACCGGAUACUUGCUGUGCGAAAGACCAUUCGAACGAUAUAACUGGAUCCAUUUCAGCUGGGCAGUGGUAUGGCUGGUGGAGCUGUUAUUGCCUCGUCAGAGACGAUUAUGGCGAAGUUGGCCUGCCCUUGUCUGGUGCCAGCACGAACACCGCUGGUGCGCCAUUCUAUGUCAUGUGAUCUAACGUGCCAAGCACGCAAGAGGGGUGAGGCCCGGUCAAGCGGGAGGCCCGUACGGGCCGCCAAUGAAAAACCGCUGAUCGGGGUGGACUGGUCGCUGGUGGAGCUGUUAUGGCCCCGUACGGGACAAUUAUGGCGAAGUCGGCGUCUCCUCAGCCAGCCCAGGGCGGAUAAUAAAGUGACGCGCAUGAAUGGAUUAACGAGAUUCCCACUGUCUCUAUCUACUAUCUAGCGAAACCACAGCCAAGGGAACGGGCUUGGCAGACACAGCGGGGAAAGAAGACCCUGUUGAGCUUGACUCUAGUCCGACACUGUAAAGAGUCAUGAGAGGUGUAGCAUAAGUGGGAGGCUUCGGCCGCCAGUGAAAUACCACUACUUUCAUCGAUUCUUUACUUAUUCGGUAAGACGAGGAAUGAUCCCUUUCGGGAUCGUGAUUCUGGUGUUAAGUGCAGCCACUCGGUGGCGGUACGACUCGCGCCGAAGACAGUGUCAGGCGGGGAGUUUGACUGGGGCGGUACAUCCAUCAAAUCGUAACGUGGGUGUCCUAAGGCUAGCUCAGAGAGGACGGAAACCUCUCGUGGAGCAAAAGGGCAAAAGCUCGCUUGAUCUUGAUUUUCAGUACGAAUACAGACCGCGAAAGCGUGGCCUAUCGAUCCUUUUGAAUUAGAAGGUCUCUAGCAAGAGGUGUCAGAAAAGUUACCACAGGGAUAACUGGCUUGUGGCAGCCAAGCGUCCAUAGCGACGUUGCUUUUUGAUCCUUCGAUGUCGGCUCUUCCUAUCAUUGCGAAGCAGAAUUCGCCAAGCGUUGGAUUGUUCACCCACCAAUAGGGAACGUGAGCUGGGUUUAGACCGUCGUGAGACAGGUUAGUUUUACCCUACUGUGACUAGUUGUUGCGAUAGUAAUCCUGCUCAGUACGAGAGGAACCGCAGGUUCAGACAUUUGGUUCAUGUGCUUGGCCGAUAGGCCAAUGGUGCGAAGCUACCAUCUGAGGGAUUAUGACUGAACGCCUCUAAGUCAGAAUCCCGCCUAGUCAAGGCAACGAUAAAUUCGCUCCCCGGUGUCGGGAGGCACGCUUAUGCGGAAAAUUCAUUUUUCGCAGCCCAAUGCCCUAUCAGAUGGCCUCGUCGGGUGGCUUUGAAAGGCCGCCCGAUUGCCAAAGCCGGAUCACUCUGGUACAAUGUCGGGGCGCAAAAUCACUUGCAGACGACUUGAUUACUGAUCGAGGUGUUGU